GGCUCAAGAGUUUCUACUAUCAAGGUCAUGGCUAAGGAAUAAAUGUGACAACAUGCGAUAGAAGACAUGAUGCAUUCCUGUCAAGUAGCCCCAAGUAGCCCAUCUUUCCUGAUAUGAGAAUUUCAAGUAACUCGCUUUUGGCGUCUGAAAGGAAGGCAAAGGAUGGCAUGUGCUCCUCCCUUCUGGCCUUCCGCUGUGCCUCCCGUGCUUUCAUGUCCGGAAGACUUCUCGGAAGCCUCUGCUGAACAGGACUUUUCUGUUACCUGUUAGGCCAAGAGGAUCAAUCCUGGUUCAUGUUCAAGCAAUAAUACCUGGUAAGGUUGCCCUUCUUACCAUGUUUGCACUGGUCCCCUGGCACGUCUCCCGAUCUCUGAACUCAGAGAAUCUAGGCUUGAAGCUUUAGUUUGAAGUGCUCAGGACAAAAUCUCUUUCAAAUGUCAACGAUGACAGCAUUGUAAAAUUCCGUGAACCCAUCAUCCUUGAGAAAUGUUAAACCCUGAUGAAUCUAGAGGAGGUUAAGUCUGUAUCCAGUGACUAACCAAUGUGGACCUCUGAUGAUCCACAAGAUGUCGAUUUGAUGCCAUUCUGAAUGUCCUUCCACGUCCUAAAAUGUAGGAACUUCGUGGGACCUGCAUUCUGGUAU
Molecule: long non-coding RNA, 643 nt
Organism: Ochotona curzoniae (black-lipped pika)
Lineage: Eukaryota; Metazoa; Chordata; Mammalia; Lagomorpha; Ochotonidae
Exons: 4
Source: RefSeq, a predicted model, not a curated record